This is a long non-coding RNA of Dermochelys coriacea (leatherback sea turtle), 582 nucleotides long. RefSeq lists it as uncharacterized. NCBI's taxonomy places the organism in Eukaryota, Metazoa, Chordata, Testudines, Dermochelyidae. The transcript is spliced from 3 exons. The record is from RefSeq and is a predicted model, not a curated record.
AAGCCCAUGGGAGGCCAGCAUGGCUGGAAAAAUGAGGCCCAGAAUUCCUAGCUGCAUAGAGCGCUUGCCCACCAAGGCCUGCGUCUCCCCUCGCGUGCCCCAGCUGGCUUGGAGGCAGUUCGUUCUGAUUUACACCAGUGCCAAGACUAGCUAGCAGGCAAAGGGCCAGAUAGCAGAUGCUUUGGAAGCCACCUGGAGGGAAGGGCAGGCGGGGGUGCACGGCCAGAGGACAGGGUCACGCCGGGCAGCACCGCGGGAGGCCUUCGUCCUGCAAGGGACAGACUGAGGAUGAGGAUGGGCUGAAGACGCUGACGUGCCAGGAUCCCUGUGAGCAGAUGUGACGAGGACUCGACGGGGGGAUCUGCGGGGGCACAGGGCUCCCGAGGGGCAGCAGCUCCGCACUAGGCCCCUGCCCAGGGAGCCCCCCUCCCCAGGGGCUGGUGCUGCCGGACCCGCGGCUGGGGGCGUCCAGGCACUUACGCUGGAUGUGCUCUUCUCCGCCCCAGCCGAAGAGACGCUCCACCGCUUCUCUCUCUGGGGGGAAGCACAGGAAAGGCAGCUGGCGUCGGACACUAAGGCACA